UCAGACGAUGCGUCAUGCAUAUCAAUAAGCGGAGGAAAAGAAACUAACAAGGAUUCCCCUAGUAACGGCGGGUGAAGCGGGAAGAGCUCAAAUUUGAAAUCUUAAAGGGUUUCCCUUUACGAAUUGUAGUUUAAAGAAGUGUUUUCUGUUGAGGUUUUGGUAAAAGUUCUUUGGAAUAGGACAUCAUAGAGGGUGAGAAUCCCGUAUUUGACCUUUACUUUCAACUUUGUGAUACACUUUCAAAGAGUCGGAUUGUUUGGGAAUGCAGUCCAAAAUGGGUGGUAAAUUUCAUCUAAAGCUAAAUAUUGGCGAGAGACCGAUAGCGAACAAGUACCGUGAGGGAAGGAUGAAAAGAACUUUGAAAAGAGAGUUAAACAGUACGUGAAAUUGUCAAAAGGGAAGCGUUUGACACCAGUGUUGUUUUUCUGAAAAUCAAUUAAAGAACUGUUUAUGCUAAGUUGUUUAGACUUUAUCAGCUAACUGUUUAGUUUUGAGCUUUUCUUUAAUGCACUUUUCAGUUAACAAGUCAACAUCAAUUUCUUUUGCUGUAAAAAAGCUUGAGGAAGGUGGCUUGAGAUUCGUCUUAAGUGUUUAUAGCCUCUUGCCUAUGCAGUCGGAGAGAUUGAGGUCUGCAGCGUAGAUCCUUCGGGGCUAAAUGCAUUUGUGCUAAGUUAUAGCAUUUUAUAGACAACUUGUUGACUAUGAUUUGUCUUGUAGCUUACUCGCUUAUGUUAUUUUACCUACGCUUAGGAUGUUGAGCGCAUGUCUCUCUCU
Molecule: ribosomal RNA, 774 nt
Filed under: uncultured Neocallimastigales
Lineage: Eukaryota; Fungi; Neocallimastigomycota; Neocallimastigomycetes; Neocallimastigales
Description: partial large subunit ribosomal RNA
Rfam family: Eukaryotic large subunit ribosomal RNA
Source: RNAcentral